Molecule: ribosomal RNA, 350 nt
Filed under: uncultured bacterium
Lineage: Bacteria
Description: partial 16S ribosomal RNA
Rfam family: Bacterial small subunit ribosomal RNA
Source: RNAcentral
CCUACGGGAGGCAGCAGUGAGGAAUAUUGGUCAAUGGGCGCGAGCCUGAACCAGCCAAGUCGCGUGAGGGAAGACGGUCCUAUGGAUUGUAAACCUCUUUUGUCGGGGAGCAAAAGACGCCACGCGUGGCGUUCCGAGAGUACCCGAAGAAACAGCAUCGGCUAACUCCGUGCCAGCAGCCGCUGUAAUACGGAGGAUGCGAGCGUUAUCCGGAUUUAUUGGGUUUAAAGGGUGACUAGGCGGAAGAUCAAGUCAGCGGGAAAAUUUAGGGGCUCAAUCUCUUCGAGCCGUUGAAACUGGUUUUCUUGAGUGAGUGGGAAGCAUGAGGAAUGCGUGGUGUAGCGGUGAAA